This 79-nucleotide transfer RNA is filed under the name Irpex rosettiformis. RNAcentral's name for it is "tRNA-Gln". It matches the Rfam family "tRNA". From Rfam's summary of the family: Transfer RNA (tRNA) molecules are approximately 80 nucleotides in length. Their secondary structure includes four short double-helical elements and three loops (D, anti-codon, and T loops). Further hydrogen bonds mediate the characteristic L-shaped molecular structure. tRNAs have two regions of fundamental functional importance: the anti-codon, which is responsible for specific mRNA codon recognition, and the 3' end, to which the tRNAs corresponding amino acid is attached (by aminoacyl-tRNA synthetases). tRNAs cope with the degeneracy of the genetic code in two manners: having more than one tRNA (with a specific anti-codon) for a particular amino acid; and 'wobble' base-pairing, i.e. permitting non-standard base-pairing at the 3rd anti-codon position. The record is from RNAcentral. Lineage: Eukaryota; Fungi; Basidiomycota; Agaricomycetes; Polyporales; Irpicaceae.
GGCGCUAUAGUGUAGUGGUUAUCACUUGGGAUUCUGAUAUCAACUUCCCAAAACCCAGGUUCGAGCCCUGGUAGCGCCU